Molecule: ribosomal RNA, 504 nt
Filed under: uncultured bacterium
Lineage: Bacteria
Description: partial 16S ribosomal RNA
Rfam family: Bacterial small subunit ribosomal RNA
Source: RNAcentral
GAUAAACGCUAGCGGCAGGCUUAACACAUGCAAGUCGAGGGGCAGCAUAGAUUGUAGCAAUACAAUUGGUGGCGACCGGCGCACGGGUGCGUAACGCGUAUGCAACCUACCCGUCACAGGGGGAUAAUCCGGAGAAAUCUGGUCUAAUACCCAAUAACAUAUGGAUCGGCAUCGGUUCAUGUUGAAAUUUUCGGAGGUGACGGAUGGGCAUGCGUAGCAUUAGCUUGUUGGGGAGGUAACGACUCACCAAGGCGACGAUGCUUAGGGGGACUGAGAGGUUUUCCCCCCACACUGGUACUGAGACACGGACCAGACUCCUACGGGAGGCAGCAGUGAGGAAUAUUGGUCAAUGGGCGCAAGCCUGAACCAGCCAUGCCGCGUGCAGGAUGACGGCUCUAUGAGUUGUAAACUGCUUUUGUACGAGGGUAAAGUGGGUUACGUGUAACCUUUUGAAAGUAUCGUACGAAUAAGGAUCGGCUAACUCCGUGCCAGCCGCCGCCGUAA